AGGUGCUUAAUUCAUUGUUGCUGAACAAAUGAAGCAGUAAGUCCAGCAUCCCAGCUGAAAGUACCCAUCACUCCACAAAGGCCCCAAUAUCCCUGCUCUAAAUGGGAGGAAGAAGAAGGACAAAUCAGUUCUGGCACUCAUCAGCCAUGUAACCUUGGAUGUUGCCAGGGUUAAUGGAAGGGACAGCAUACAGCACACUACUACGCAAUAAUGAAGACUAUAAGGCUGGGGUCAGAAAACCUUGGUUCAGACCUGAGAGGGAAGCAAAACAACUCCUCUAAUAACACAUCAGGCCCACAGAGGAGCCGGGCAAAGCGCUGGGGUACAAGCCGCAGUCAACUGAGUGUUCUCAAAGCUGAACUCCAUGAGCCUGCUUGGCAGGAGGUUCAACACGUGCAGCCUCCUGCUCAGGCGGAAGUGGUGCAUCUGGGUCGCCGUCUACUGCUCCUUCAUCAGUUUGGCCAACUUCUGUAGCUUUGAGGACCCUAAGUGGAUGACAACCCCCUUGCAGCCUGGAAUGUGUGCCGUUCUGGACCAGGUGGAUGAAAGUAAUUCCAGCUGGAUAGAAGAACAAAAAUGGAGAAAGAGCUGGGGUCCCUGACUUGAAUGCUCAUGCACAGAUUGUCGGUUGAAAAAUAAAAAAAAAAUGCUGUCUAUGUAAUCCCCUGUUAUUCAGUUUCUAUUAGACCAUUAAAGCUCCACGGUAAGUGAUACUUGAGCAUCAUAAGCAUUAUCAAUAUUCUGUGGUGGUAAAGAGUAUGCAUUCUGGCCCUACACUACUGACCAGUGUAAACCCUGGUUCAGCCACUCAACUUCUGUGUGACUUUGGGGAAGUUAUUCAACAUCCCUCAGCCCUCUCGGGGUUGACAUGAGUACCUAACUCAUAAAGUCAUUUUGAUGAUGAACAGACUUAAAGUGCUCAGAGCAGGGCUGGUGUGCAGCGAGCGUAAGUGUUAACUAUUCUUACUCCUCACAAAUACUUGAGACGUGGGUAUUAUCUUGAACAUUUUAUAGAUGAAGAACUGGAGAUUCAGAAAAGCUAACUAAUUUGCCCAAGGUUACAUAAUUAGUAAAGAGUGGAGCUAGGAUUUAGACUCAUCUUACUCCCACGCCUGUGCUUUCCACUUCUAUAGCUUUUCAUUCUAUAUUUUUAAUGUUUUAACACAUUAGAGUGGUCAUCUUAAGGAAAACCAACAUUUUGCCAGCCUUUCCGAUAUUUGUCUUCUGAUUUAGUGUUGCUUUUAUUUGGAUUACGAUGGAGGUAGGGAUGGGCCCUAAAGUUAGUAGAAGCUCCAUAUGACCCGGGUCUUCCUUAGCAGAUGCUUACCCAGCCCUGUAUGAGUUAAAGAUUUCAAUAAUAUUACAAACUGGUAGGUUUCUUUUUUUUUUUUUUUUGUAAGACUUCUAAUGUAAACUUGUGUAAUAUUUUGACCUAUGCACGAAUGCACACUAAGACUUGAUAAGCUCCCACGCAUCUUAAAAUAUAGUUAACUGUAGCUCCAAUUGUAACUGAAGUGUUGAGGGCUCUUAAACAUCUCUGGGGUACUUUCAGAGGUCCCCUGGAAACUGAAAUCCUUCUUUUGGAACUUUAGAAUGGGACAGGAUCAGGUGUUAGUAUUAUGUUUGCAAUUUUCCUUUUCUUUUUUUCCUUUUUAAAUCUGUUUUGAUCACAAAUUAAAGGCUGUACAUAAUAUUGUUUUUGCCCAAUAGUGACUGUGUCCUCAGAAUGUUAGGGGUCAUCUGUUGGGAGCGUAUACCUUCUGGAGGCUUUUGUCCUGCAUCAAUCUGUCACAUAUAGCACAUACAAAUACAUACACCCUUAAAAAUGUUUAUAGUUAACAUUUUCUUUCAAUAUUUAUUUUAUUUUAGUAACAUUUUUGACAUUGGAACUUAAGAAAAGCCUAAUGGGCUACAGUGUUACUCUCAAAAUGAUUUUUAGCUUUUUGAAAAAUGUUUAAUUUUUUAAAAUAAAUAAUGCAGUCAUGAGAUUCAAAAAGCAGAAUGCAUAAAACAGUAUAUAAUCUAACAUUCUCCC
Molecule: long non-coding RNA, 2035 nt
Organism: Acinonyx jubatus (cheetah)
Lineage: Eukaryota; Metazoa; Chordata; Mammalia; Carnivora; Felidae
Exons: 5
Source: RefSeq, a predicted model, not a curated record